Molecule: long non-coding RNA, 1395 nt
Organism: Leguminivora glycinivorella
Lineage: Eukaryota; Metazoa; Arthropoda; Insecta; Lepidoptera; Tortricidae
Exons: 4
Source: RefSeq, a predicted model, not a curated record
AAAGCCCCACUCCCCAGCUGCCAGACUUGCAGACCUGAUGUUGGUUAUGAUCAGAGAAGCAUCUGAGCACCUUUACAGGUUGCCUCAAGUACCUACUCCAAAAUCCUGCCAGCUCUUGGAAGUCUUGGACCAUUAAUUGAUCAUUUCACGUAAAUUAAUAUUUUCUUCUUUAAAUACUUAUAAAUUAUAUGCCAGAGACUAAUUACUAAGAGGGGCCGUUUCUUAUCAAAUACAACUUAUUAUACUGUUCGCCCGUAUUAGGUUUACACCCUGUAUAUACCCGUCCUAGCGAAAUCACGAUAUGCAUUUUCGCCACUGACGGUAACGGAACUAAAUAAUAUUAAAUAUAAUUUUCCCUCGGUUUCUGAACACGGUUUUAGAGUUGGCAACCCCGGACCGCGACGCGACGCCAUCUUUUAUUUAUUCUAUCGUGGUGCGCGUCCUUCUGUGAGUUAGCUGACGGAAAUAUGGUGAGAUUUGCUAUUUAAUUACCAAUUUACAGCCUAUGUGGCAGUUAACUGUUAGAUAGUUUAUUGUGGGACUAGGUUGGUUUGUGUAAUAUAUCAUAUUACAGAAAAACGGCUCGUCACGUCGCGGGUAGCGCUUACGCCGCCUUCGCGCCCCACUUGAAUCGACGACCUACAUGUCGCAUCCGCGAAUUAUUUUUAACAUUAUAAAUCAAUAUAUUUUUAUACUGUGUUCAGGUUCAGGGUUGUUUUUGCCCAUGCCCCAUCAUCUGCCGCGAUCCUGGACAAGUUGGCGAUCAACAGGAUCCGGCCUGCGUGCAAUGGCCAGUGAAGUCUAUCCCAGUGCCUGUAUUAUUAUCAAGUCAUCACGCUGUCGUCGUCGGACUCGUCGGUUACAAAUGACGCGGCAGAUCUCUCUUAAGCUUAGAAAGAUGGUUGUGGCGCAGUGCUCUGCUACUUCGUGCCACAGACCAUUCUCCAACUGCAGAUCUACGUGUCAGCGCGACAGUGCACUCACUAACCUUGUUUGGCCCGGUGGAAUUUGUCAAUUCAGCGUGUGCUACUCUGCGGCGCGGCGGCGGCGGCGGCGCCUUCAUAAUGAACUUCAACUAACUAUAUGGUAAAAUGAUGUAUGUCACUUGAGGCGAGGAGGACUUGAGAAGGUGCGUCUGCGAACGGCCUUAGUGACGCCUCUUCAGCGCGACGGGUGGUCUCCUCAAAUAUGAGAAGGAGCUCGGGUCCUGCGGGCUCUUAACCGUCGUAGUAUUCACGCAGUGUUUUAAAAUAGUGUUUGUGUGUAUUAUGAUAACAUUUAUGUUCAAUUCAAAUGUCUAACUCUACAUAAGUAUUCAUAUCAUUUUUCAUUAGUAUGGUGCUGUUUUUGCGGUCUGAAGAAAAAACUUUAAAUAAAAUAAUUAUGUUGUCUGUA